This 905-nucleotide long non-coding RNA is filed under the name Equus asinus (donkey). RNAcentral's name for it is "lncRNA (ENSEASG00005027483.1)". The record is from RNAcentral. Lineage: Eukaryota; Metazoa; Chordata; Mammalia; Perissodactyla; Equidae.
CAGCGCCCUGGCCCCGGAGCGGUUUAGCCGCUGCCUUGUGUCGCGGCCGCGUGCCGGGCGAUGGCCGCCCAGACCCCCGGACCCCCGAUCGCCAGUCCCGGGGCUUCCCGCCCGCGCCUCGGUGGAGGGAGGCCCCGGAGGCGCCAUCGCUCGCGCCUGCCACCUGGACGCUGAAUAAACUGGGAAACAAUUAGGUGGCCGGGUGGGGAAGGUGCUGGGUGACUGCACUGCCAGGCGGCCGCGUGCCCCCGCGCUCGCAGGGGUUGGCGACUGGGGGCGGUUGGGAGUUCGUGUUUAGGGAGGAAGGUGAGAGGUGCGGGAUCUGCCCACGAGGGCAGUCGCUCUCGGAGAAUCGGGGAAUGGCUCUGUCAGGUCGCAGGCCCUCCUCCGCCUUUAUCCCCAUCACGCACAAAAAGAAUGGGCCUUGCAAGGGAUGUUUAUUAUGCACUUUUAAGUGACUAUUCAGAAAAGAGCAGGAGGCACAAUAAAAAAGGCUUCUGCCCCACCAAUUCCCUUCCCUUGAAGAAAAAAAGAAAGAGAAAGCCACCCACAAAGAGAGAAGAGAGGGAGAGAUGCCACACUGAAAAUACCAUUCACAAUAGAUGGGAACACCAAACGGCCACAGAGAUGAUACCAAAGACAUCAGUGGUGUCAAGCGAGCAGCAGGAAGGACAGAUGUUACCAGAGACAAGUAUCAGCCCAGAGAGAGCACCAGAGGAAUCCACACAACAAACUCUACUACCUAGCCCUUAUCUUCCAUUAGUUCCCUCAUAUAUUAAUCUUCCCACAAUUUGCCACCCUAGAAACUCAAGGUCCUUUUUCUCUGUCUUGUCACUUCUCUAAAAAUUUACUGUUCAUUUGUCAAGAUGCUACAUAAGCCCGAGUUCUAACCACUCUUCUGAGUU